CGGAGGGAACAAGUUAUUCUCGGCGAGAGUGAUGACACCUGGGAUGUCUGGUGUUUAACAACCGGCUCUCAAGAAAGAAAAGAUUCCUGAUGUGUAGUGUUUGCUAAUUUCCGUGAUGUAAGUUUUCCUGCCGUGGCCACUUUCAAGCUACCAACAGGACGUCACGGGGCUUGGAACUGGAAGGAAAUGUGCACCAUCAGCUGCACAGGAGUGACAAAUCCCAUUACUGAGCACCUGCUGGGGACCCGGGCCUGAAACCUGUGUUUUCCAUGCCUGAUCUCACCUCCUCUCACUUACCUGGAAGGUUAUCAUCUCCAUUUUGCAGGCCCCGUGCUCACAAGCCUCUACUUGGAGCUGAGCUGUCAUGGUCCCGGUGGAGCCCAUGUUCUCCGGGAGAGAAGGGCACCUUUUGGUGAUGACCAGCAUCCUUGGCACUCCUUCCCUGCAGCUGCAUCAGUCCAGUCUCUGCCUUUGUCAUCAUGUGGAAAGACACCAGCCGGUUGGAUUAGAACCCACCCUAAUGACUUCAUCCACCCUUAAUCAGCUGCAAAGAUCCUAUUUCCGAGUAAGGUCACGUUCACAGCCCCAACAACCACCAAACACGUGUUGCAACUCCUCUCUCCCGUCCCUGCCCUGAGGUCACUGCGGUGAGAUCUUGCUGGCCCAGAGAUUAGCCCUGAGCUAACACCUGCUGCCAAUCCUCCUCUUUUUGCUGAGGAAGCCUGGCCCUGAGCUCACAUCCGUGCCCAUCUUCCUCCACGUUAUAUGUGGGACGCCUAUCACAGCAUGGCUUGUCAAGCUGUGCCAUGUCCACACCCGGGAUCCGAACCGGUGAACCUCGGGCCACCAAAGUGGAAUGUGUGAACUUAACCGCUGCACCACGGGCCGGCCCCUUAACCAUUUUUUAAGUGCACAGUUUGGUGGCAUUGAGUAUAUUUACUCUGUUGCGUGACCAUCGCCACCAUUCAUCUCCAGAACUUUUUCGUCUUCCCAAACAGAGACUCUGUCCCCAUUAAACACGAACUCCCCAGCCUCCCUUCCCCCAGCCCCUGGUAGCAACUUUUUCUUGAAAAACGCUAAAGCAUUUUCAAAAGCCAGCCAUUUGACCUCCUGGCAGGUGCAAGAAUGGCCAGGCUCCUGAGCUAUGUUUGAACUGUUUCUGGGCAAAACAACACAGAAAACUUCAAAGCAAGCCUCCUGCCACCCAUCCAGAAAAAUCUCAACUUUGCCUUCGUGACAUGUUCUCCAACAACCUGUGCUGCAACCUGUGGGGACCAGGACACCGAGAGAAGUGGGAUCAGAAAACCCAGAGGGAUGUCCCCUAGAGUUUAGACAAUGCAUGGUUUUCCACUGAAACACAGAUUUCUCACAUGAAAGAUGGCAGGGUUGAAGCUAAGGGAUUAGAAGGAGCAAAUCCUUGGAGCUUCUGAGAAAGGGAGGCAUCAGGAGCAGUUUGCAGACCGAGAACAAGGGCCCUCACAUUUCUAGAGGAUAGCAGAGCUUCCCUUGUUAAAUUGUGAUCCAUUGUCUGGAUCCCUGCUGAAUUUUGUGGUUAAAAUUCUGAUGUGAAAGACCGGAGGGCUUGCUUCAGGGACAGCCAGGAAGGUGAAGCCACCCAGCAAGGCCGGACCCCAGAGCCUUCGUGGGCAGGAGGCCCACAAGUGUUGGCGAGGGAGGUAGAGCUGCAGGGGAGCGGCAUGUGGCGCCACUCAGGCGGCCUGACCAAGGCUGGACCGCUCAGAUCAGGUGCUGCCUUGAAUGUUCUGCACACCAGGCAGGCCCUGAGGGCCGGGCCUGAAUGGAGGGAUGUGCAUUCCAGAACUGCAGCCAGAAAGGACAAGGUUACCCCAAAAGAGCCCCAGGGAUUCCCUGAAGGAGGAAUUUGGGGGCUCUGUGAGGGAAUUCCUGCUUAUGGGAGCAAGACACGCUGGAGCCCCUGUGAACACAGCAUGCGGAGCUCUGCCGGUGAUCUCCACCCUGUCACCUCCAAAGCUGAGUGGAGGGAGGAAGCACUUCAGUACCCGCUGAACUGAAGAGAUUCUCCAAAAAAGUUAUAGCGUGACUGGAGGCGCAAAACCCUGCCUCUACCUCCAUCCAGCCUCCUGAUAAAUUGCGGAAAGUCUGGAAACAUUCUCACUUCUACCACCAGAUGGCGCCAUCGACACAUUCCCUCCGCCCCCACAACCGCCGCAUGCCCCCGGCUAAUUGUUAAACCAGACAAGAAGCCCUCACAUCUAUAAAGGAGCCUGGUAGAUCCCAAACGACCCUCUGGCUCAGGGCAUGCACAGAAACCAUGGGAAUUCCAAGUGUGUGAGGGGAGGAGCAGAGGAAAGCAGAUACUGCCUGGAGAGCUGAGAACCCAGACAGUGAAAGGCCAUCCAGAUCAGAAAUCUCUAUUUCUCCAACCCUCUUCACUACACACUGCUCUUGUUCUUUUUAUUGUCUCACUUCCCUUUGUACAAAGAUUGAAGUUCCAACUAUUGAAAAUUCAGUGGUUGGGGCUGGCCCUGUGGGGCAGCUUAGUGGUUAAGUUCAUAUGCUCAGCUUCCACCACCCAGGGUUCAUGGGUUCUGAUCCUGGUCUGGACUUAUGAGCCACUCAUCAAGCCAUGCUGUGGCAGGCGUCCCACAUAUGAAACAGAGGAAGAUGGGCACAGAUCGUAGCUCAGGGCCAGUCUUCCUCAGCAAAAAGAGGAGAAUUGGUGACAGAUGUUAGCUCAGGGCUAGUCUUCCUCAAAAAAAAAAAAAAAAAAAGAGCCAGACAACCUGAUUGAAAAAUGGAGAAAGGAAUUGAACAGACAUUUCUCCAAAGAAGAUAUACAAAUGGCCAAGAAGCACAUGAAAACAUGCUCAACAUCAUUAAUCAUUCAGGGAAAUGCAAAUCAAAACCAUGAGAUACUACCUUACACCCAUUAGGAUGGCUAUUCUUUUUUUUUUUUUUUUUUGAGGAAGAUUAGCCCUGAGCUAGCAUCUGCUGCCAAUCCUCCUCUUUUUGUUGAGGAAGACUGGCCCUGAGCUAACAUCUGUGCCCUACUUUAUAUGUGGGACGCCUACCACAGCAUGGCUUGCCAAGCAGUGCCAUGUCCACACCCGGGAUCUGAACCAGCUAACCCUGGGCCUCUAAACAGGAACGUGUGAACUUAACCCCUGUGCCACUGGGCCAGCUCCAGGAUAGCUAUUCUUUAAAAAAAAAAAAGGGGUCAGAAAAUAACAAGUGUUGGCAGGGAUUUGGAGAAAUUGUAAUCCUUGUGUACUGAUGGUGGAUAUGUAUAAUGGUGCAGCUGGUAUGAAAAACAGGUGGCGCCUCAAAAUAUUGAAAAUAAAAUUACCAUAUGAUCUAGCAAUUACACUUCUGAGUAUAUACUCCAAAGAAUUAAAAGCAAGAUCUCAAAGAGAUUUUUAUACACUCAUGUUCAUAGCAGCAUAUUCACAAUAGCCAAAAAGUGGAAACAACCCAAAAGUCUUAUCGGUGGAUGAGUAGAUAAAUGUGGUAUUUACAUACAAUGGAAUAUUAUUCAGCCUUAAAAAGAAAGGAAACUCUGACACGUGCUACAGCACGAAUGAACCUUGAGGACAUUCUGCUAAGUGAAAUAACCCAGUCAGAAAAGGACAGAUAUUUUAUGAUUCCACUUAUAUGAUGAACCUGGAGCAGUUA
Molecule: long non-coding RNA, 3654 nt
Filed under: Equus asinus (donkey)
Lineage: Eukaryota; Metazoa; Chordata; Mammalia; Perissodactyla; Equidae
Description: lncRNA (ENSEASG00005036739.1)
Source: RNAcentral